CCUACGGGAGGCUGCAGUGAGGAAUAUUGGUCAAUGGACGAGAGUCUGAACCAGCCAAGUAGCGUGAAGGAUGACUGCCCUAGGGGUUGUAAACUUCUUUUAUAUGGGAAUAAAAUGUUCCACGUGUGGGAUUUUGUAUGUACCAUAUGAAUAAGGAUCGGCUAACUCCGUGCCAGCAGCCGCGGUAAUACGGAGGAUCCGAGCGUUAUCCGGAUUUAUUGGGUUGAAAGGGAGCGGAGGUGGAUUGUUAAGUCAGUUGGGAAAGUUUGCGGCUCAACCGUAAAAUUGCAGUUGAAACUGGCAGUCUUGAGUACAGUAGAGGUGGGCGGAAUUCGUGGUGUAGCGGUGAAAUGCUUAGAUAUCACGAAGAACUCCGAUUGCGAAGGCAGCUCACUGGACUGCAACUGACACUGAGGCUCGAAAGUGUGGGUAUCAAACAGGAUUAGAUACCCUGGUAGUC
RNAcentral lists this ribosomal RNA (460 nucleotides) under uncultured bacterium. RNAcentral's name for it is "partial 16S ribosomal RNA". It matches the Rfam family "Bacterial small subunit ribosomal RNA", at positions 338 to 795 of the family's 1533-position model. The record is from RNAcentral.